RNAcentral lists this ribosomal RNA (735 nucleotides) under uncultured bacterium. RNAcentral's name for it is "bacterial SSU rRNA". It matches the Rfam family "Bacterial small subunit ribosomal RNA", at positions 10 to 734 of the family's 1533-position model. The record is from RNAcentral.
AGUUUGAUCAUGGCUCAGGAUGAACGCUAGCGGGAGGCUUAAUACAUGCAAGUCGAACGGCAACAUGAUGAUAGCAAUAUUAUUGAUGGCGAGUGGCGCACGGGUGAGUAACACGUACAUAACCUGCCCUUUACUGAGGGAUAGCCUUGGGAAACUAGGAGUAACCCCUCAUGGUGUGCAUUAGACGCAUGUCUGAUGCAAUAAAUCUUUCGAGAGGUAAAGGAUGGGUGUGCGGCUGAUUAGUUAGUUGGAGAGGUAACGGCUCACCAAGACAAUGAUCAGUAGGGGGUGUGAGAGCAUGAUCCCCCACACGGGUACUGAGACACGGACCCGACUCCUACGGGAGGCAGCAGUAAGGAAUAUUGGACAAUGGCGGAGACGCUGAUCCAGCUAUCCCGCGUGCAGGAUGAAGGGCCUAUGGCUUGUAAACUGCUUUAGACUGAGACGAAAAAAUGAGAUUUUUCUCAUAUUGACGGUAUCAGUAAAAUAAGCACCGGCUAACUCCGUGCCAGCAGCCGCGGUAAGACGGAGGGUGCAAGCGUUAUCCGGAAUCACUGGGUAUAAAGGGUGCGUAGGCGGCUUGUUAAGUCAGGAGUGAAAGGCCAUAGCUUAACUAUGGGAUUGCUUUUGAUACUGGCGAGCUUGGAUUAGGACGAGGUUGGCGGAAUGUGACAAGUAGCGGUGAAAUGCAUAGAUAUGUCAUAGAAUACCGAUUGCGAAGGCAGCUGACUAGAC